AGCCAAUGCAUAUGUUCUUGUCGUAUAUAUUUUUUGAAUAAUAUAUUUUAUGUUUCAACACUCUCUGCAGACAUCACAUGCAAGCUGCAUACAUUGAUUCCAAUUUUCCUGGUUGAUUAUUUCUCCUCUUGGUGGUAAGUCAGACACUCAGGGGGAUAGUUGUUUUUCACAUGAGGCUAUAGCAUAUUGAAAUGACCAAGAUCAUCAAGCCACAUCCAGAACAAAUCAACAGUAAAUAGAGGCUUUGGCAGUAAAGAUGAAAUGUGGGAAAUAUCAGACUGUACUCCUUUCUAAUCUUAUAUUCUCAAACCAUCCUUCUCUGUGCCUGGCAUGGUGUCCCGCUCAGGAUUAAGGUUAAAUAAAUAUAUUUUAAAGUGAUCGAACAGGUAUUCAAUAAAUUCAUAUAGGAUGAAGGAAUGAAUGAAUGCAUGAAGAAAUCUUUCCUUCUGUGUGGAUCCAAUCCCGGAAAUGAAUAUUUUGCUGCAUAAGAAAUGAAAAGAGACAGACACGAGGAACAUUCUGUGGGAAAGAUUUUACCAGAGCUGGGAUGGCUUCAUAGGUAUGCAUGCGCAACAGGACAAGAGAAGGAAAUUCAAGACUCAGUGAAAAUCAACAGUCUAAAGUAGCCAGCAUUGCUGUGGAUUAUAUGGCCGGAGAACCCACAUCGCUCCUUUCAAGUCAAGUCCUGGGGUAAUUCGCACGGCUUCCUUCAAAGACUAAUUCAUUUAACACGGAACAGUACGGUUCAGAGCUGAAGUAAUAGUUAACAUAUUGCUUAACUCUAGCUUGGACUGUUCUUAACACUCAUAUCCUCUUUAUUAAAGGAUUGCUAGAAAGUCUGAAGCAAAUACAUAUUUUAAGAGGUUUUGUUUUUUCCUAAACUUGGGACUGGGGGAGGGUCCAAUGUUAAAAACAAUUGCGAGAGAGAUUUAGUUUAUAUAACACAGCAUUGUGUUGGGAACUAAUAGGCUAUUUUUUUUUUUUUUAUUAACUGUGAUAGUGGGUGCUCUGGCUCCAAGCUUCAAACCUAAAGAUCCAAGAUGCCUGAAACUCAGAAAAUCUCUAUGAGUGAAAGUCAACUUCCUCUUUACGUCUUCUCCGGGCACAUGUAUUUCAUGUUGUGGCUGUCGUUG
Molecule: long non-coding RNA, 1133 nt
Filed under: Felis catus (domestic cat)
Lineage: Eukaryota; Metazoa; Chordata; Mammalia; Carnivora; Felidae
Description: lncRNA (ENSFCAG00000046723.2)
Source: RNAcentral